AGUCUUUUAAUUGAUGACUUGGAUGAAAGAUUGGAUGANAAANAAACUGUCUNUUUAUUAAAAAAAAAAUUUAAUUUUUUAAUUAAAAAGUUAAAAUAAAUUUAAAANACGAGAAGACCCCANANAGUUUUAUAAAUUAUAUUAAGAAAGUUUUANAUAAGNAUAAUUAAUUUUUAUAAANAUAAUUUAAUUAAUUGGGGGGAUUAAAAAANUAANAAAACUUUUUUUUUUAAAAACAUAGGUAAAUGAAUAUAUUGAUCCNNUAUUAAUGAAUAUAAGAAAAAAUUACCCUGGGGANAACAGCGUAAUUUUUUUUUUUAGUUCAAAUAAGAAAAAGAGUUUGCGACCUCGAUGUUGGAUUAAGAUAAAAUUUAAAUGC
RNAcentral lists this ribosomal RNA (379 nucleotides) under Chilo sacchariphagus (spotted sugarcane borer). RNAcentral's name for it is "partial 16S ribosomal RNA". Lineage: Eukaryota; Metazoa; Arthropoda; Insecta; Lepidoptera; Crambidae. The record is from RNAcentral.